Cannabis sativa is the source of this 355-nucleotide long non-coding RNA. RefSeq lists it as uncharacterized. The transcript has 3 exons. Lineage: Eukaryota; Viridiplantae; Streptophyta; Magnoliopsida; Rosales; Cannabaceae. The record is from RefSeq and is a predicted model, not a curated record.
UAUAUUAACACUAAGAUAAACUCUUAAAUACAAGUACAUGUAUCUAAUGUAUUUUUUUGGCAUUGUAGGAAUUGAGUAAGGUGCAACGUGAACGUUCCUCAAAAAUUCAAUCCAGACAUCGAAGUGGUCGGAGUGGGAUGGUGAACGUACGGGAAGCUGUGAAAAAGGACCUCGAAGUUGCAGAUCCUCCCCGCCACCGUGUUUGGAUUAAAUCUCGCACCAAGAGUAGAAAACUUGUCACUGAUUACGACAAGGAAAUUGCCGAGAAGAUAGCUCAAUUAGAGGAGAAGCUUAGUCAGGGACAAAUUCAGGUCCAGGGCCAAAACGAUAUCCUCACGCAGGCGCUCGGGACACC